AAUUAAAUAGAAGCGCCAGAACUGAUUGGGACGAAAAUACUUGAAGGUGAAAUCCCUGAAAAGUAAACAGUCAGUUGACGAGGAGGAGAUUAAUCGAAGUUUCGGCGGGAGUCUCCCGGCUGUGCAUGCAGUCGUUAAGUCUUACUUACAAAUCA
Molecule: unclassified non-coding RNA, 155 nt
Filed under: Listeria monocytogenes
Lineage: Bacteria; Bacillati; Bacillota; Bacilli; Caryophanales; Listeriaceae
Description: glmS
Rfam family: glmS glucosamine-6-phosphate activated ribozyme aptamer
About the family: This entry contains a glucosamine-6-phosphate activated ribozyme that is found in the mRNA for GlmS. GlmS is an enzyme that uses fructose-6-phosphate and glutamine to generate glucosamine-6-phosphate.
Source: RNAcentral